UAGAGUUGCAAAACUCCCAACCCUCUGUGAACCAUACCUGUUCAGUUGCUUCGGCAGGCGGCCCCAGGGCGGGGUCUUUAGCCUGUUAUAGGUGUUUGCCGAAGGUAUUAAAAAUUCUUAUUUCUUAAUAAAUCUCUGAGCUUUUAAAAUAAGUCA
This 156-nucleotide unclassified non-coding RNA is filed under the name uncultured Ascomycota. Its description in RNAcentral is "sequence contains ITS1". Lineage: Eukaryota; Fungi; Ascomycota. The record is from RNAcentral.